CCUACGGGUGGCAGCAGUGAGGAAUAUUGGUCAAUGGACGAGAGUCUGAACCAGCCAAGUAGCGUGAAGGAUGACUGCCCUAUGGGUUGUAAACUUCUUUUAUAUGGGAAUAAAAUGUUCCACGUGUGGGAUUUUGUAUGUACCAUAUGAAUAAGGAUCGGCUAACUCCGUGCCAGCAGCCGCGGUAAUACGGAGGAUCCGAGCGUUAUCCGGGUUUAUUGGGUUUAAAGGGUGCGUAGGUGGAUUUUUAAGUCAGUUGUGAAAGUUUGGGGCUCAACCGUAAAAGUGCCGUUGAAACUGGAAGUCGUGAGUACAGUUGAGGUAGGCGGAAUUCGUGGUGUAGCGGUGAAAUGCUUAGAUAUCACGAAGAACUCCGAUUGCGAAGGCAGCUCACUGGACUGCAACUGACACUGAGGCUCGAAAGUGUGGGUAUCAAACAGGAUUAGAUACCCGAGUAGUC
This 460-nucleotide ribosomal RNA is filed under the name uncultured bacterium. Its description in RNAcentral is "partial 16S ribosomal RNA". It matches the Rfam family "Bacterial small subunit ribosomal RNA", at positions 338 to 795 of the family's 1533-position model. The record is from RNAcentral.